UGUCAUAGCCGCAAGGUCUGUAUACAGGUGGUGCAUGGUUGUCGUCAGCUCGUGUCGUGAGAUGUUGGGUUAAGUCCCGCAACGAGCGCAACCCUCGUUCUGUGUUGCCAGCAUUUAGUUGGGGACUCACAGGAGACUGCCGGGGUUAACUCGGAGGAAGGUGGGGAUGACGUCAAAUCAUCAUGCCCCUUAUGUCUUGGGCUGCACGCAUGCUACAAUGGCUGGUACAAACGGCUGCGAUACCGCAAGGUGGAGCGAAUCCGAUAAAGCCAGUCUCAGUUCGGAUUGGGGUCUGCAACUCGACCCCAUGAAGUCGGAGUUGCUAGUAAUCGUAGAUCAGCAACGCUACGGUGAAUACGUUCCCGGGGCUUGUACACACCGCCCGUCACGUCACGAAAGUCGGUAACACCCGAAGUCAGUGGCCCAACCGUAAGGGGGG
RNAcentral lists this ribosomal RNA (439 nucleotides) under uncultured Actinomycetes bacterium. Its description in RNAcentral is "bacterial SSU rRNA". It matches the Rfam family "Bacterial small subunit ribosomal RNA", at positions 1007 to 1450 of the family's 1533-position model. The record is from RNAcentral. Lineage: Bacteria; Bacillati; Actinomycetota; Actinomycetes.